RNAcentral lists this transfer RNA (73 nucleotides) under Candidatus Jacksonbacteria bacterium. Its description in RNAcentral is "tRNA-Lys". It matches the Rfam family "tRNA". Rfam says of the family: Transfer RNA (tRNA) molecules are approximately 80 nucleotides in length. Their secondary structure includes four short double-helical elements and three loops (D, anti-codon, and T loops). Further hydrogen bonds mediate the characteristic L-shaped molecular structure. tRNAs have two regions of fundamental functional importance: the anti-codon, which is responsible for specific mRNA codon recognition, and the 3' end, to which the tRNAs corresponding amino acid is attached (by aminoacyl-tRNA synthetases). tRNAs cope with the degeneracy of the genetic code in two manners: having more than one tRNA (with a specific anti-codon) for a particular amino acid; and 'wobble' base-pairing, i.e. permitting non-standard base-pairing at the 3rd anti-codon position. The record is from RNAcentral. Lineage: Bacteria; Candidatus Jacksoniibacteriota.
GCGCCUAUAGCUCAGUUGGUAGAGCAGUGGCCUUUUAAGCCAAUGGUCGGGGGUUCAAAUCCCUCUGGGCGCA